RNAcentral lists this ribosomal RNA (2758 nucleotides) under Klebsiella pneumoniae. Its description in RNAcentral is "bacterial LSU rRNA". It matches the Rfam family "Bacterial large subunit ribosomal RNA". The record is from RNAcentral. Lineage: Bacteria; Pseudomonadati; Pseudomonadota; Gammaproteobacteria; Enterobacterales; Enterobacteriaceae.
CACUAUCGUUAACUGAAUACAUAGGUUAACGAGGCGAACCGGGGGAACUGAAACAUCUAAGUACCCCGAGGAAAAGAAAUCAACCGAGAUUCCCCCAGUAGCGGCGAGCGAACGGGGAGCAGCCCAGAGUCUGAAUCAGCUUGUGUGUUAGUGGAACGGUCUGGAAAGUCCGACGGUACAGGGUGAUAGUCCCGUACACCAAAAUGCACAGGCUGUGAACUCGAAGAGUAGGGCGGGACACGUGGUAUCCUGUCUGAAUAUGGGGGGACCAUCCUCCAAGGCUAAAUACUCCUGACUGACCGAUAGUGAACCAGUACCGUGAGGGAAAGGCGAAAAGAACCCCGGCGAGGGGAGUGAAAAAGAACCUGAAACCGUGUACGUACAAGCAGUGGGAGCACCUUCGGGUGUGACUGCGUACCUUUUGUAUAAUGGGUCAGCGACUUAUAUUCUGUAGCAAGGUUAACCGUAUAGGGGAGCCGCAGGGAAACCGAGUCUUAACUGGGCGUUAAGUUGCAGGGUAUAGACCCGAAACCCGGUGAUCUAGCCAUGGGCAGGUUGAAGGUUGGGUAACACUAACUGGAGGACCGAACCGACUAAUGUUGAAAAAUUAGCGGAUGACUUGUGGCUGGGGGUGAAAGGCCAAUCAAACCGGGAGAUAGCUGGUUCUCCCCGAAAGCUAUUUAGGUAGCGCCUCGUGAACUCAUCUUCGGGGGUAGAGCACUGUUUCGGCUAGGGGGUCAUCCCGACUUACCAACCCGAUGCAAACUACGAAUACCGAAGAAUGUUAUCACGGGAGACACACGGCGGGUGCUAACGUCCGUCGUGAAGAGGGAAACAACCCAGACCGCCAGCUAAGGUCCCAAAGUCAUGGUUAAGUGGGAAACGAUGUGGGAAGGCACAGACAGCCAGGAUGUUGGCUUAGAAGCAGCCAUCAUUUAAAGAAAGCGUAAUAGCUCACUGGUCGAGUCGGCCUGCGCGGAAGAUGUAACGGGGCUAAACCAUGCACCGAAGCUGCGGCAGCGACACUAUGUGUUGUUGGGUAGGGGAGCGUUCUGUAAGCCUGCGAAGGUGUGCUGUGAGGCAUGCUGGAGGUAUCAGAAGUGCGAAUGCUGACAUAAGUAACGAUAAAGCGGGUGAAAAGCCCGCUCGCCGGAAGACCAAGGGUUCCUGUCCAACGUUAAUCGGGGCAGGGUGAGUCGACCCCUAAGGCGAGGCCGAAAGGCGUAGUCGAUGGGAAACAGGUUAAUAUUCCUGUACUUGGUGUUACUGCGAAGGGGGGACGGAGAAGGCUAUGUUAGCCGGGCGACGGUUGUCCCGGUUUAAGCAUGUAGGCUGGUUAUCCAGGCAAAUCCGGAUAAUCAAGGCUGAGGUGUGAUGACGAGGCACUACGGUGCUGAAGUAACAAAUGCCCUGCUUCCAGGAAAAGCCUCUAAGCAUCAGGUAACAUCAAAUCGUACCCCAAACCGACACAGGUGGUCAGGUAGAGAAUACCAAGGCGCUUGAGAGAACUCGGGUGAAGGAACUAGGCAAAAUGGUGCCGUAACUUCGGGAGAAGGCACGCUGGUGUGUAGGUGAAGUCCCUGCGGAUGGAGCUGAGACCAGUCGAAGAUACCAGCUGGCUGCAACUGUUUAUUAAAAACACAGCACUGUGCAAACACGAAAGUGGACGUAUACGGUGUGACGCCUGCCCGGUGCCGGAAGGUUAAUUGAUGGGGUUAUCCGUAAGGAGAAGCUCUUGAUCGAAGCCCCGGUAAACGGCGGCCGUAACUAUAACGGUCCUAAGGUAGCGAAAUUCCUUGUCGGGUAAGUUCCGACCUGCACGAAUGGCGUAAUGAUGGCCAGGCUGUCUCCACCCGAGACUCAGUGAAAUUGAACUCGCUGUGAAGAUGCAGUGUACCCGCGGCAAGACGGAAAGACCCCGUGAACCUUUACUAUAGCUUGACACUGAACAUUGAGCCUUGAUGUGUAGGAUAGGUGGGAGGCUUUGAAGCGUGGACGCCAGUCUGCGUGGAGCCAACCUUGAAAUACCACCCUUUAAUGUUUGAUGUUCUAACGUUGGCCCCUUACCGGGGUUGCGGACAGUGUCUGGUGGGUAGUUUGACUGGGGCGGUCUCCUCCCAAAGCGUAACGGAGGAGCACGAAGGUUAGCUAAUCCUGGUCGGACAUCAGGAGGUUAGUGCAAUGGCAUAAGCUAGCUUGACUGCGAGCGUGACGGCGCGAGCAGGUGCGAAAGCAGGUCAUAGUGAUCCGGUGGUUCUGAAUGGAAGGGCCAUCGCUCAACGGAUAAAAGGUACUCCGGGGAUAACAGGCUGAUACCGCCCAAGAGUUCAUAUCGACGGCGGUGUUUGGCACCUCGAUGUCGGCUCAUCACAUCCUGGGGCUGAAGUAGGUCCCAAGGGUAUGGCUGUUCGCCAUUUAAAGUGGUACGCGAGCUGGGUUUAGAACGUCGUGAGACAGUUCGGUCCCUAUCUGCCGUGGGCGCUGGAGAAUUGAGGGGGGCUGCUCCUAGUACGAGAGGACCGGAGUGGACGCAUCACUGGUGUUCGGGUUGUCAUGCCAAUGGCACUGCCCGGUAGCUAAAUGCGGAAGAGAUAAGUGCUGAAAGCAUCUAAGCACGAAACUUGCCCCGAGAUGAGUUCUCCCUGAGACUUUAAGUCUCCUGAAGGAACGUUGAAGACGACGACGUUGAUAGGCCGGGUGUGUAAGCGCAGCGAUGCGUUGAGCUAACCGGUACUAAUGAACCGUGAGGCUUAACCUU